UUUCCAGACUCCUACGGGAGGCAGCAGUGGGGAAUAUUGCACAAUGGGGGAAACCCUGAUGCAGCAACGCCGCGUGAGUGAAGAAGUCAUUCGUGAUGUAAAGCUCUAUCAGCAGGGAAGAAAAUGACGGUACCUGAGUAAGAAGCCCCGGCUAACUACGUGCCAGCAGCCGCGGUAAUACGUAGGGGGCAAGCGUUAUCCGGAUUUACUGGGUGUAAAGGGGGCGCAGACGGCGAUGCAAGCCAGGAGUGAAAGCCCGGGGCCCAACCCCGGGACUGCUCUUGGAACUGCGUGGCUGGAGUGCAGGAGGGGCAGGCGGAAUUCCUGGUGUAGCGGUGAAAUGCGUAGAUAUCAGGAGGAACACCGGUGGCGAAGGCGGCCUGCUGGACUGCAACUGGCGUUGAGGCCCGAAAGCGUGGGGAGCAAACAGGAUUAGAUACCCCUGUAAA
RNAcentral lists this ribosomal RNA (449 nucleotides) under uncultured bacterium. RNAcentral describes it as "bacterial SSU rRNA". It matches the Rfam family "Bacterial small subunit ribosomal RNA", at positions 328 to 793 of the family's 1533-position model. The record is from RNAcentral.